This 312-nucleotide ribosomal RNA is filed under the name uncultured Actinomycetes bacterium. RNAcentral's name for it is "bacterial SSU rRNA". It matches the Rfam family "Bacterial small subunit ribosomal RNA", at positions 1028 to 1339 of the family's 1533-position model. The record is from RNAcentral. Lineage: Bacteria; Bacillati; Actinomycetota; Actinomycetes.
CUGGUGAAAGGUGGUGCAUGGUUGUCGUCAGCUCGUGUCGUGAGAUGUUGGGUUAAGUCCCGCAACGAGCGCAACCCUCGUUCUAUGUUGCCAGCACGUAAUGGUGGGAACUCAUGGGAUACUGCCGGGGUCAACUCGGAGGAAGGUGGGGAUGACGUCAAAUCAUCAUGCCCCUUAUGUCUUGGGCUUCACGCAUGCUACAAUGGCCGGUACAAAGGGCUGCAAUACCGUGAGGUGGAGCGAAUCCCAAAAAGCCGGUCCCAGUUCGGAUUGAGGUCUGCAACUCGACCUCAUGAAGUCGGAGUCGCUAGU